AGCGAACGUUUGCGGCGGGCUUAACACAUGCAAGUCGAACGGGCUGUUCCUUCGGGGGCAGUCAGUGGCGCACGGGUGCGUAACACGUAGGUAAUCAACCCUCUGGUUGGGGAUAACACUUCGAAAGGAGUGCUAAUACCCGGUAUGGCGCAGCGGUCUUCGGAUCGCGGCGAGAAAGACCCGCAAGGGUUGCCAGAGGACGAGCCUGCGGCCCAUCAGCUAGUUGGCGAGGUAACGGCUCACCAAGGCGAAGACGGGUAGCUGGUCUGAGAGGAUGAUCAGCCACACUGGAACUGAGACACGGUCCAGACUCCUACGGGAGGCAGCAGUGGGGAAUAUUGCGCAAUGGGCGAAAGCCUGACGCAGCCACGCCGCGUGAGCGAUGAAGGCCU
This 392-nucleotide ribosomal RNA is filed under the name uncultured bacterium. RNAcentral describes it as "bacterial SSU rRNA". It matches the Rfam family "Bacterial small subunit ribosomal RNA", at positions 29 to 417 of the family's 1533-position model. The record is from RNAcentral.